GAUGAACGCUGGCGGCGUGCCUAAUACAUGCAAGUCGAGCGAACAGACGAGGAGCUUGCUCCUCUGACGUUAGCGGCGGACGGGUGAGUAACACGUGGAUAACCUACCUAUAAGACUGGGAUAACUUCGGGAAACCGGAGCUAAUACCGGCUCAUAUAUUGUACCGCAUGGUUCAAUAGUGAAUGACGGUUUUGCUGUCACUUAUAGAUGGAUCCGCGCCGGAUUAGCUAGUUGGUAAGGUAACGGCUUACCAAGGCAACGAUGCGUAGCCGACCUGAGAGGGUGAUCAGCCACACUGGAACUGAGACACGGUCCAGACUCCUACGGGAGGCAGCAGUAGGGAAUCUUGCGCAAAGGGCGAAAGCCUGACGGAGCAACGCCGCGUGAGUGAUGAAGGUCUUCGGAUCGUAAAACUCUGUUAUUAGGGAAGAACAAAUGUGUAAGUAACUAUGCACGUCUUGACGGUACCUAAUCAGAAAGCCACGGCUAACUACGUG
Molecule: ribosomal RNA, 497 nt
Filed under: uncultured bacterium
Lineage: Bacteria
Description: partial 16S ribosomal RNA
Rfam family: Bacterial small subunit ribosomal RNA
Source: RNAcentral